GACGGAGGAUGCAAGUGUUAUCCGGAAUCACUGGGCGUAAAGCGUCUGUAGGUGGUUUUAAAAGUCCACUGUUAAAAAUUGAAGCUUAACUUCAAAGAUGCAAUGGAAACUUUUAAACUUGAGUAUGGUAGGGGUAGAGGGAAUUUCCAGUGGAGCGGUGAAAUGCGUAGAUAUCUGGAGGAACACCGGUGGCGAAGGCGGCAUCCUGGACCGAGAUUGACGCUGAGGCGCGAAAGCUAGGGGAGCAAACAGG
This 253-nucleotide ribosomal RNA is filed under the name uncultured bacterium. Its description in RNAcentral is "partial 16S ribosomal RNA". It matches the Rfam family "Bacterial small subunit ribosomal RNA", at positions 524 to 776 of the family's 1533-position model. The record is from RNAcentral.